Molecule: long non-coding RNA, 210 nt
Filed under: Elaeis guineensis (African oil palm)
Lineage: Eukaryota; Viridiplantae; Streptophyta; Magnoliopsida; Arecales; Arecaceae
Description: long non-coding RNA (EGUI_LNC063176)
Source: RNAcentral
GGGCAUGACAUUUUAUGGUAUCAGAGCGAUAGGUUUAAUCAUGGGUAGAACUUAAAACCUAACAGUGGAUAGUUAGAUUACGUAUAGUUAGACUCUGACUUAAAUGAAUAAAGAAGGAUAAUUUUUUUUUUGUUAACCGUACUAUAGCUCUGUUAUAAAAAAAUAUAAUAAUGUUAGCAUUUGACUAGGAAGCGAUCAGUGAUAGGGAGG